RNAcentral lists this long non-coding RNA (201 nucleotides) under Bos taurus (domestic cattle). RNAcentral's name for it is "long non-coding RNA NONBTAT022135". Lineage: Eukaryota; Metazoa; Chordata; Mammalia; Artiodactyla; Bovidae. The record is from RNAcentral.
UCCUUCAACUCAAACUUGGUAGAUCUUCCGCUUUUUUAAACUAAAGAAAUCAAGAAUAAAUAAAAACUUAAAAAAAAAUGUUACUGUUAACAAAGGAGCCUGCAAAUGUUAACCUCUCCUGAAUUAUUGAAAUAGUGACUAAUCUUUAAGGAAUAACUUCUGCAGAAAUGAGAUCCUACAAUGUGUACACCUAAAGCAAUU